This 253-nucleotide ribosomal RNA is filed under the name uncultured bacterium. RNAcentral's name for it is "partial 16S ribosomal RNA". It matches the Rfam family "Bacterial small subunit ribosomal RNA", at positions 524 to 776 of the family's 1533-position model. The record is from RNAcentral.
UACGGAGGGUGCGAGCGUUGUCCGGAAUCACUGGGCGUAAAGCGCACGUAGGCGGGUCGUUAAGUCAGGGGUGAAAUCCUGGAGCUCAACUCCAGAACUGCCCUUGAUACUGGCGAUCUCGAGUUCGGGAGAGGUGAGUGGAACUGCGAGUGUAGAGGUGAAAUUCGUAGAUAUUCGCAAGAACACCAGUGGCGAAGGCGGCUCACUGGCCCGAUACUGACGCUGAGGUGCGAAAGCGUGGGGAGCAAACAGG